UGAAAUUGUCUACGCCGUGGAAAAACUCUCCGAGGAAAACAACAGCUAUUCCGUGGAUGCCGCCGAGGUCACUGACCUGCAUGUCAUCAGUUAUGAAGUGGAGCGGGACCUGACUCCACUGAUUCUCUCCAACUGCCAGUACCAGGUGGAGGAAGGCAGAGAGACCGUGCAGGAGUUCGAUCUGGAGAAGAUUCAGCGGCAGAUCGUCAGCCGCUUCCUCCAGGGCAAGCCCCAGCUGAGCCUCAAGGGAAUACCCACUCUGGUGUACAGACACGACUGGAACUAUGAACAUCUCUUUAUGGACAUCAAGAACAAAAUGGCACAGGUGAUCCUGAUAAACCUGAUCCUGUGCACGGGGCUUUCUGCCUUCUCAGUGUGUUUCCCUCCAUGUUAGGCCUACUCCAGCCUUGCCCCGGGUGUUUGCUGUGAGCCACAGUUUCUGCGGCCUCCCUGAGGACCCCAGGGGGCUCCCUUACAGAGAGCAAGCAAGACAGCAAAUCAGCAAGUUUUCUUGUAGAGUAAAAGCAGAUUGACAUCUUGUGGGUUUGAUUCUUAGGAAUGAUGUCAUGGCCAUGCCUGCUGAAGCGGAAAAGUCCAUGGAACCGAUUUGUCCCUGCUCUCCGCAUGCGGGUACUGAUAGGUAGACCUGUGUGUCUCCAUGGCCUCCAGGAACUGCCUGCACACCGUGCGCCCAAGUGUCAGCUGUUAGAGAGUCGGCCCCGCAUGUGGCUUGGGCAGUGAAGGGGCUCGGCUCUCUUACCAGGUGGUGAGACGCCAGAAACCCAGCCCACAGACAUCCCUCUCCUGCUUUUCAUUUCCCAGGACUCCCUCCCCAGCUCGGUCAUUAGUGCCAUCAGUGGACAGCUGCAGUCCUACAGCGAUGCCUGUGAAGUGCUGUCUGUCGUAGAAGUCACUCUGGGGUUUCUGAGCACAGCUGGUGGGGAUCCAAACAUGCAGCUGAAUGUGUAUACUCAAGACAUCCUGCAAAUGGGUGAUCAGACGAUUCACGUGUUAAAGGCCUUAAACAGAUGCCAGUUAAAACACACCAUUGCCCUCUGGCAGUUCCUGUCUGCUCAUAAGUCUGAACAGCUGCUGCGGCUGCACAAAGAGCCAUUUGGGGAAAUCAGUUCAAGGUACAAAGCGGAUCUGAGCCCGGAAAAUGCUAAGCUCCUCAGCACAUUCCUAAAUCAGAUUGGCCUAGACGCCUUCCUGCUAGAGCUGCACGAAAUGAUAAUCUUGAAACUAAAGAACCCCCAAACCCAAACCGAGGAGCGCUUCCGCCCUCAGUGGAGCCUGAGAGACACUCUCGUAAGUUACAUGCAAACUAAAGAAAGUGAAAUUCUUCCUGAAAUGGCAUCUCAGUUCCCAGAAGAGAUACUGCUCGCCAGCUGUGUCUCAGUGUGGAAAACAGCUGCUGUGCUGAAAUGGAAUCGAGAAAUGAGAUAGAAUUAUUUCCUCAGCUAUCUUUGGAUGCCUUUGGAGAGAAGACUCCUCUCUCCUCGUCUGCGGCGUGGACUUGAUCAUGGACUGGUGCCUUUGCAUUCAGAAGGAGAGCUGUCAGCGUAGCACCGAAUUCAAGACCAAGGCGUGCUACCUGAGCUGACAGCUUUUUGAAAGCCGAGCUGUUUCUGAACCAUGUACAUACAUGUUCUGAAACUUUCUCAUCAUUUUAUGAGUACUGUUCAUUGGGAGAUGACAAUGAAGAUUAGAUGAAAUUGGAAAUAAACCAACAUUGUUUACAUUCCAGGAGACUUGUAGCUCAGCCACACACGCAGUAAUGACCUGUGCCCGUUCGCCUCUGGCACUGCCCACCCCUCUUUUUUUUUCUUCUAAUUCUGUACUCACAAAAGACAAUCUCGUUUCCUUCUUUCUUCCAUUCCCUUAAAUUCUGAGUAUUGUACAUAUAUUUCUGGGUUCCCGCGAUGAUGUGAAAAACUACCACUGUUUUUUGUCUUCUCACAAAGACAAGAAAAAUCAGGGCAUUUUGUGAGUGCCUUAAGAUCAAACUAACAAGAUCUGACCCUCUCCCCUCACAGUGAGCCACUGCCCCACUUCAGAGGGUAAGAGCCAAAAGCCUCAUUGUGAAAGGCACUGGACUUGGACCAGGGACACCAUCAGGGCCUUGGUUUUCUCACGCAUAAAAUGGAGAGUGGAUUAAUCGCCAAAGAUUCUUCUGAUCUAACAUUUUGAAAUUAUAAGAGAAACUAGAUGACUGUAAACUUGGUCACAGGCCUGGUUCUGGCAGUUCUUUGCGGACUUUUUUCUAGCAUUAUGCCAAAUAAACAUGCAGUCUCAGUGUGCUCUCGCAUGUAUAAAUAUCUAGUCCUUUCUGUGGUUCUCAGCCAAGACAUAAAAACUAGGACUCAGAGCGCAUACAAAACCAGUUAUGUUUCGGAAAGAGGGAAAAGAGUCCCCGAGCCCGGAUCUUGUGCUGCUUUUCUCACUGAAGUGUUGCCUUUUUUCUUUACAAAAUUUGCUUUGAUACUUAGGACCUCUCUGGACUAAUUUCUCUUCCUAGACAGCUCAGCACAGCUAUUGAUAUGUUAGAGGCAGUAUCCUUAAUAUUCAUUCUACAUGAGUUAACGACUUAACUUGAAAUUGGGCCUAAGGAGUGAGAGCUACAAAAAUACAAAAUGCUUGUCCAGGACUCAGCUAUGCACACCUUGAACAGCGCCGGCAGGAGGCACGGAAGGAACUGUGCUCCGUUCUCCUCACUGUCAUGGUGCCACCAGUGUCUGAUGAAGGGCAGAGUGACCCAGACUGCAGGCAGUAACUGACUUCACACAGUCCCUGGCAUUUAGUCAUCUGUGAUUGUUUUAUCACUCUGGACUGUGCAGAGCCACCUGCCACCGAGAUCUGCAUUCCGACUGCCUAUGAACGGGUGUGGGGGCCGGGGGCUGGCUUGCUGAAGUCUUCAACUUGCACUCGGAGCUCCUUUGAUACCUCAGAGCUGGCUGUCAGGUGGCAGCUCACACCCAGACUCACUGGCCACACCUCAGCAGGGGGGAGUCGAGUGUCAGUCUCUUUCUGUGAAGGCUUUUUUUUCCCUUUGGCCUGGGAAUUUUUCCCAUUUUUAUGAAGGGGUUUUAAAUUGUUUCAUUUUGUGUGCUGUGCUUCAAAGCCUUAACUGUCAAAUCUUGCAUUAUCUUGUUUGUACAGAAAUAUACUGGCCUAGCAGAGGCAAAAAAAAAAAAAAAGAAUUUUAUUUUACUUGUCACACCUGUCUUAAUAAACUGGAGUUUCGCUGCUAAAGAACUCUUCUCUCUGGGGGCAGAGCUUCUAUUUAUGGCACAUAGACAUCAGCUAGGCUUUUGGGAAUCGUUCGUGUUCUUUGUGGAAAUGUCCUUUAGAAGCACCCAUGAAGUAAGUAGUAUGUUCAGACUGUGCACACAGAAAACAUGCUCUGCCUUCACAUGUGAGAUGGUAGACUUUUCCUCUGGACAAAAUGACAGCAGCCUGGCGACUCCACAGUGGAGCUGAGCGCCACUCCCCGUAGCCGAUCUGGGACUGAAACGCUUACACCUCUGCCUCAGAGAGGAGUCCCCCAUGCCCUGCCUGAAAUGACUUCACUGGAAACAGCAGGGCUGCAGCUAACGGGAGUACAGGUAGGAGCUAACUAACUUCACCCAUGAGUCCACUUGUGGGGUAAGAGAUAAACAGUAACCCUUCCAGGAGCCCACUGACGUUUGAGUGCUAAAAAUGCCCCUUUAGGGGGAAAACUGCAUUUUCUCUUCCAAAAAGGAAAGGUUCUUCCAGGCGAGAAACCUGUGGUCUAGAACCACAGCAAGAAGAAGAGGCAUGCUGGCCUGCACCGGAAGACUCACUUUGUCUGCCCUGCGCCAGCCUCACCUCACCCUGCAGUUCCCGUUUCCGCCAUGGAUGCCUCAUCACCAACCCUGACCUUCCCCCUCCCAACCCUUUAUUCAUCCUCACUGCCACUCAUACCCGCCUCCCUGGACAGUUCCCUGCUGCAGAGUUCUUUCUGCUUUCAGCCCUACCUUGGUGGUGAUUUACCUGAAAAUCUUCACAACUGAUCAUUAUCUCCUUCUCUUUGAGACCUGACUGAAAAAAUUAGGUGUGCACACCUGUAAUCCCAGCUACUUGGGAGGCUGAGGUAUGAGGAUUGCUUGAGCCUGGGAGUUUGAGGCUGCAGUGAGCUAUGAUUGCACCACUGCACUCCAACCUGGGUGACAGAGUGAGACCCUGUCUCAAAAAAAAUAAAAUAGAAUAACAUAA
Molecule: small RNA, 4236 nt
Filed under: Pan troglodytes (chimpanzee)
Lineage: Eukaryota; Metazoa; Chordata; Mammalia; Primates; Hominidae
Description: retained intron
Source: RNAcentral